GGAAUCAUAGACAAUGGGGGAAACCCUGACCUUGCCAUGCCGCGUGAGCGAUGAAGGCCCUAGGGUUGUAACGCUCUUUCACCCGCGAAGAUAAUCACGGUAGCGGGCGCAGAAACCCCGGCUAACUCCGUGCCAGCAGCCGCGGUAAUACGGAGGGGGUUAGCGUUGUUCGGAAUUACUGGGCGUAAAGCGCACGUAGGCGGAUCGGAAAGUUGGGGGUGAAAUCCCGGGGCUCAACCCUGGAACUGCCUUCAAAACUGUCGGUCUGGAGUCCGAGAGAGGUGAGUGGAACUCCGAGUGUAGAGGUGAAAUUCGUAGAUAUUCGGAAGAACACCAGUGGCGAAGGCGGCUCACUGGCUCGGUACUGACGCUGAGGUGCGAAAGCGUGGGGAGCAAAC
Molecule: ribosomal RNA, 398 nt
Filed under: uncultured bacterium
Lineage: Bacteria
Description: bacterial SSU rRNA
Rfam family: Bacterial small subunit ribosomal RNA
Source: RNAcentral